GGGAGAAUUGCUUGAACCCGGGAGAUGGAGGUUGCAGUGAGCUGAGAUCACGCCACUGCACUCCACCCUGGGCAACAGAGU
This is a microRNA precursor of Saimiri boliviensis boliviensis (Bolivian squirrel monkey), 81 nucleotides long. The record is from Ensembl. NCBI's taxonomy places the organism in Eukaryota, Metazoa, Chordata, Mammalia, Primates, Cebidae.